CUGGUGUAUUGAGAAACUUUCAACAGACGUAUGAAGUUGAAGCUGAGCAGGCAAAAGGAGAUGAGUUUAGAAAAACUCGAGAAGAGGGAGAGGUGAGAUAACCUGUGGCUUCUCAGGACAUGUAUUCUCUUGUCUUUGUGGUGAUGUGGAGGGACCCACUGACCAGAAGAUACAUCAUUGCCUGAACACUGGCAGGAAAGGAAGAGCUGCCAAGUACCAACCAGAAUCUAAACGGAGAUUGUUGAAGGAUGGAAGAAGAAAUUAGAUAUAGGCUGUCAGUGCACAUAUUUUUUGCAUUAAAUUAUAAACAAUAUGCUGUUAAUAUUUAAAUCACGGAGGAAUACCAGAAGAGAAAAUAUGUGUCCUUGUUUUUCUAUCAUUUCACUUUCUCCUCACCAUGUCAAUAUCAAAAGUAUACUGUGUCUUUGUACUCCAUGUCAUCAGGCAUAUGCCUAUCUGCAAGUACACAACACUGCAGAGAUGGUAAGACAAAAGCUUUAUUAAAUUUAAUGCCCGAUGCAGAAUUUUAAAUUUGUUGUCUUCAACUCAAAUGUAAUAUUUUGGGGUUUUUGGUACUUAUAAGCUUGACAAAUCAACUUUAUGUUCUUGAGUUAAAGGCAAAUAAGAAGCAUUCAGAAAACUUCAUGAACAUCAAAUGUCAAUUGCAACACAAGAUUUUGAUACAACUGUACGUGAGUCUGAAACAUAUGGAUUGAAUUUUCCUCGCAAUAUUCUAGUGUUUGGAAGGAAAAUCUGCGCAAAAAAUGUGUUGUGGGUUUUCUGAAACCCCCAAAGUUGAAAAAACAUUUUGAUUUAUUUAGAUUUAGAAAUGGGAUAGCCAUUUUGCACCCCUGGAAACUUAAUUAAGUACCAAAUUCAGUUCAGCACUGCAAGGCACAAGGGCCUGAAUGAGUGAAUCCUCCUUUUCAGUUGCACUGGACUGUUUUAAUUCAUUCGAACUAUGCAAUCUAAUCAGUGGAAGAGCCUAGAGGUUUCUUUCUGCGGCUGUAACUACCCCACAUAAUCUCUGAGAGCCUUCCCCCAAGGCACCUCCAAUAAAUAUAUACUCUAAACAAACAUAAUAUGCAAUCCAAAACAACCAUACCACCUAGGUAAAAACUGAGAUUGCUAUACAAACUAAGCCUCCAGACAAAUCUCCCCAACCUACAGAAAUUCCAUGUCUCCACUGAGUUAAGUGCAUAGAAACCCCAAAGGACCUUUCUGCUUUUACUUUGUUAUUUUUGGAUCUUAUCUCACACUUUUGUCUUUCAGCUUGAUUUGACUGGAUUACUUCCCAACCCUCAGUAAUGCUCCAUUGUGGGAGCCUGUGUCUCAACAGUUCACACCUGCCGUUUACUCCACUGGGUUGUGAAGAUUCACAGAAGAUGACAGGAAGGGGGGAUAAAUAAGCUAAAAUAAACUUUAGAGGAUGGCCCCAUUGCUGUGGUUCUCUGAUCUUGGUUGUUGUCUAUAGAGCUGUCCUUCAAAGACAUUGAUAUGCAGCUGUAUUUUAGAAACAUUUCCUCUUCCAGGUUAGGAGUCUUUUCCAAAUUAAAGAUUCAGUCAAGGGAAUUGGUUUAGAACCAAUUGGUUUAGAACUUCCUCUUCUUGCCUUCCUAAAAACCUAAAAUCUUUGCACAUAAACACAAAACCAAAAAAGUGUAAGCUUUUGAUUCAGGCAGUCUGGGGAUUGUGUCUCGGUUCUGUUUCAUUACUGGCUGUAUAACCUGGAGUAAGUAUCUUCUGAAACACAUUUCCCUCUUUUAUAAACAUGAAGAUACUAGUCCUUCCCUCACUGAGCCAUUUCAAGAAUUAAUAAAAUAUACUGUUUACUUCACAGAGUGUUUUGUAAGUAGUAGAAGCUCAGUGAAUAUUACUUUCUCUCCUCCUUUAUUCUAAUAUCUUAGUAUCUACAUUUCAUAUAUUUUGGUUCAAAUCAUAAAAUUAUUAAAUAAGUCAUCAAGAACAAAGUAAGAAUCAAUCAAAUUGUCAAAAACAACACCCAUUGUCUAUUCAAAGUUCUCCUAAUUUUUGAUGCCUAAGGAUACAGAGUGAU
RNAcentral lists this long non-coding RNA (2056 nucleotides) under Homo sapiens (human). RNAcentral describes it as "HSALNT0009435". Lineage: Eukaryota; Metazoa; Chordata; Mammalia; Primates; Hominidae. The record is from RNAcentral.